UUCCUUCUGCUGACUUUAGGUUUUAUUUGUUUUUCUAAUUCUUUUUGGUGGUGGGUUAAGUUGUUGAUUUGAGAUUUUUCUUCUUUUCUGAGGAAGGCCUGUAUCACCAUGAACUUCCCUCUAAGUACUGCCUUUGUGGCAUCCCAUAGAUUUUGAAUGGUUGUUUUCAUUACAAUUUGUUUUAAGGUAUUUUUUAAUUUCAGUUUUGAGUUCCUCAUUGACCAGUUGGAUUUUUAGUACCAUGUUGCUUAGUUUCCAUGUAGUUUCAUGGCACUGUGGUCAAAGAUACUUGAAAUAAUUUUUAUACUCUUAAGUUUGUUGAGGUUAGUUUUGUGCACCAGUAUGUGGUCAGUCCUUGAGAAUGUUCCAUGGGCAGUUGAAAAAAGUGUGUAUUCUGAUUUUUUUUUGGACAUAAUGUCCUGAAAAAUGUCAAGUAAUUCUUAAGCUUUCUAUUGUGUCAUUUAGGAUCUCUGUUGCCUUAUUGAUUUUUUGUCUAGAGAAUCUGUCCAUUGAUGUGAGUGGGGUGUUAAAGUCUCCUACUAUUAUUGUAUUCUCAUUAGUUUCUCCUUUUAUGUAUGUAUUUGUUGUAUGUAUUUGGGUGCUCCUAUAAUAGGGGCAUAUACAUUGAUAAGUGUAAUAACCUCUUCUUGAAUUGUUCCUUUUAUCAUUAAAUAGAGUUCUUUAUCUUUAUGGCCUUCAUUUAAAAAUUUAUUUUGUCUAAUAUGAAUAUUGUAACUGCUGCCUUCCUGUCUUUUCCAUUGGCAUGAAAUAUCUUUUCCCAUCCCCUCACUUUCAGUUUAUGUGUCCUUUGCCUUAAGGUGAGUCUCUUGUAGAAAAAGCAUAUUGUAGGCUCUUGUUUUUUUUAUCCAAUCUGCCACUCUGUGUUUUUUGAUUGGAGCCUUCAGUCCAUUGACAUUUAGGGAAACUACUCAUAAAUAUGUCUUUGUUGCCAUUUUAAACCUUGUUUUCCAGUUGAUUCUAUGUUUCUCCUAUGUUCCUUUCUUUUAUUGGUUGGAGGAUUUCCUUUUAUUUUAUGCUUGUGUCCUUUUUCUUUUUUGUGAAUAUAAUGUUUGUUUUUGAUUUACGGUUGCCCUGUUUUUCAAGUAUGUUAACCCCUUCCUAUAUCUGCUUGCUUUAGCCUGAUAAUCAUAUAAGCUCAAACACAUUCUAAAAAAAGUCUAGAUUUUCUUACUUUCCUUCCCCACAUUUUAUGAUUUUGAAGUCCUUUUUUUAACAUCUUCAUCAUGUUUGUCCUUUUACUGUUUCUUGUGUUUAUCAUCACUCUUACUUACAAUAGGUUUUUUGGGUUUUUUUUUUUUUUUCCUUUUAGAUCUGUAUACAGGCUUAUUUAAGAUAUGCUUUCCAAUUGUGAUUUCCUCCUCUUUAUUCUUACUUCUCUUUUAUUUAGAGAAUCCCUUUCAGUAUUUUCUUUUAGAAUGGAUUUAGUAUUGCUGUACUCUUUUAGUUUUUGUUUGUUGGGGAAAUUAUUUAUUUCUCCUUCUAUUUUAAAUGAUAUUCUUGCUGGGUAGAGUAUUCUAGGCUGCAAAUUUUUCCCUUUUAGAACUUUGACUAUAUCUUGUCACUCUCUUCUGGCCUGUAGUGUUUCUGUAGAGAAAUCAGCUGAUAGCCUUAUGGGGUUCCCUUAUAAUUAAUGCUUUGUUUUUCUCUUGCUGCCUUUAGAAUCCUCUCUUUAACUUUGCCAUUUUGUUAUUAUAUGUCUUGGUUUGGGCCUGUUUGGGUUCAGCUUGUUUGGGGCCUUCUGUGUUUCCUGUAUCUUUAGAUUUGAAAGUUUUCAGCCAUAAUUUCUUCAAAUAUAUUUUCAAUCCCUUUUUCUUUUUUUUCUCCUUCUGAAAUCCCUAUUAUGCAUAGAUUGGUCUGCUUUAUAUUAUCCCAUAGAUCUCUUAUAUUGCUUUCAUGUUUUUUCAUUUGCUUUUCUGUCUGCUGUCUUGAUUGGAUGACUUCCAUUAUUCUAUUUUCCAAGUCACUAAUUUGUUCCUCUGCAUUACUCAUUUUGCUCGUUAGUGCCUUUAACUCAGCUUCCACCUCUGCAAAUGAAUUUUCUAGUUUUUCUUGGCUCCUCCUUAUAUUUUCUAGUUCCUUUCUAAAGUAAUCUGCAUUACUAUUUAUAUCUACUCUUAAUUCCUUCAUAUUCAUCCUUAAUUCCUUCAGUAUUUUCACUAUUUCUUUUUUGAACUCAGUGUGUAUUAGACUGCAGAGGUCUGUUUCAUUGUUUGCUCCUUCAGGUGAAUUCUCCUGUUCUUUUAACGGGGAAUGGUUCCUGAGUUUCUUCAUUUUGCGUAUUUUUUUAUUUUUCUGUGGGUUUAGGGAAACCAACUACUGUAAUCUUGAAGGGCUGUUUCUAUGCAAGAGUGCCCCUUUGUAUUUUGUGGGGGCUUACUAUUUAUUUUUGGUGUGGGAGUUUGGAUAUUUGCUAUCUCUUUCUUCAGUGUGAUCAGGCUGUUAUCCCACUGAUAGGGUGCUGAGUGUGUUUCCAGGGAGAGGGAGGCAAUGGGUAGGGCUAGUAGUCAGUGCCUAGUUGCUGGGCUCUUGACAGUAGCAAGGACCUGUGGGAAGGUGGCUAAGGCUACUCCUAGUUGCAAGGCCCUAGGAAGUAAUGAGCCUCAGGUAGACAUAGACAGUGCUUAGGGUUUUUGGCAGUGGCAUCAGCAGGGCAUGUGAGUUCCCAGGGGAGUUAGAGCAGCAACGGGUGGUGCUCAGUUGCACUGCCCUCCUCUGUGGUAUCCUCUAAGGUGAUUGGGACCACAAGUGGUGUCUGUUCAUGGACCCCUAGUGGUGGUGGGCCACGCCCACCUCUGGAGUCAGAGGUAACUAUGGUGGCCACCUAUAGACCACACAAGAAGUUCACUGUCUGCUUAGCCCAUGCAGGAGAGGCUGUGCAGGCUGUUCCUAGUUUCAGCGUCCUGGGGAGUGACAGGGAUCAGGCUGGUGUAGGUGGUACCUAGAGCAUUUGGCAGUGGCAGCAGCUGGGCAGUUACAUUUCCAGGGGAGUGAGGGCAACAACGGGUGGUGCUUGGUUGCAGUACCCUCUUCUCUGUCAACCUCUGAGGUGCCUGUGGUUGCUGGUGGUCCCUGUUAACAGACCCAUAGUGGUGGUGGGCCCCACCCACCUCUGAUGUCUGAGAUGACUGCUGUGGUUUACCCCCAUCACCUGUGGACCAUGCAAGAGGUGUCAUGUUAUGUUUAGCUACCCCCUGCUCUUGGCCCACACAAGAGUUACCUGACCACCGGUAGCCCACAGAAGAGGCAUCCUGUUGCCCAUAGCCUGCACAAGUGGCACCUAGUCAUCUGCAGCCUGUGCCAGAGGUGCCCUGCCCUCUGCGAGUCCAUGUUCACAUGCAAGGAACAGAUUCUUAUGGCGGUCUGCCCCACCUCUCUCGCUCUCUGUAACAAUGGCAUUUCCCGCAGGUCCAGACCUCUUUCUAGGUUCCCUUGGCUGUGGCACUCAGCUCCCCAGCACCCUGGCACACUGCUACCUAGCCCCUCAGGCUGUCUCCACACAGCCAACACUAGUCCUGUACCCAGAACUGACCUCUGGAGCCUGAGUCUCAGCACCCAGCCCCCGCUUAAGCAUCUCAGGCUGUAACCACAGGGCGUGGUGCAGAUGAUCUGUGCAGCUCUCACUCUGCUUUUCCUUCCUCGGUCCAGCUGCUGCACUUUUCUCUGUGACUUUGAGAUCCCUCUCUGUAUUGGCUGAUCUCCUGGUCAGUUAGGUGGCUUCCCAGGGUGUGGGUUCCUUUCCUUUUUAGCAGCUCCCUCUCAGGAGAGCUAGUCCCAUCCAAUUCCUUUUCUCUCUUUUUUUUCCUUUGUUCUACCCAGUAACAUGGAGGGGUUUUUGCCUUUUUCGGAAGUUUAAGUUCUUCUUUUUUAUUUAUUUAUUUACUCUUUUUUUUUUUUUGGUUUAUUUUCUUCUGCCAGCAUUCAACAGAUGUUCUGUGCAAAUUGUUCUACAUGUAGAUGAUUUUUUUGGAUGAGUUUGUGGGGGAAUGUGAGUGCCACAUCUUAGCUUUCACCAUCUUGAUCCUUCCCCUCCAUGAAACAUUUCUGUCACAACCACACCCCACUUUGUAUCCUACUAUACAUACCCAUUAGUCUGUUACUUGCACAUAAAGCCUCCUCAUAAAUUCUUCCCGGUGGGAAAUGUGUCCUAGUCUGAGGACAGUGGCCUCCCCUCUAGGGUAUUUGUCUCAGAACUGUCUGAAGUUUGGAUGUUAGGGUUGAAGAGUAGAUGAUGGCUGGCAAUCUCUGUUAGUGUUCCUGGUAUUUCUUUACCAUAACAGUUAUGAAUUGCCCAUCAAUUAGGCCUUUUGUACCUCAUCUUCUAAUAGCCAGAGCAAUGAGUCUUUGUACUGAGAACCUCUUCUUUUCUUUUUUACAUUUUCCCCCAAUUUCCUUUGGUUAUUUUGAGAACUUAAAUUCCUAAGUCAUCUUCCUAAGUCAUCUUUUCCAAAACUGCAUAUAGGAGAGACUGCUAGUUAACUACCCCUUUAUUCUUUUUAUCUUCUUCAUCAAUAGAACCGUGAAUUUCAUGGAGGUAGCAAAGUGCUCAGCCAAAAAACUACACUGUCCAUAUUCCACUACUGAUAAGGAUGACAGUGUGACACAGUUCUUGUCAAUAAAGUGUAACUAAAGAUGUCGAGGGGGGCUUCUACCCCUUAAAAAGGGGUAACCUCAGGGCAUGUGCCCUUUUGCCCUAGUUUCUUGUCAAUAAAGUAUAACUAAAGGUGUUGAGGGGGGCUUCUGCCCCUUAAAAAGGGGUAACCUCAGGGCAUGUGCCCUUUUGCCCUAGUUUCUCCCCCUUCUUUCUGUGUUCAUCUUAGGAGAUGCUAGACAUAGAAUAGACAUGUAGCAACAAGAUGACCAUUGUGAGAAAUGCCAAGAGACUAGCUGGGGUCACAUCUGAAAAGGCUAGGUUAACAGGCAGACAGGCCCUCUGUCUAUAAUUUUUGCACACUCCCACCCUGCCACCCUAGGGCUGGGGGAAAGGUUCAUAUCUGCAGCUACUGGGUUUUAAAAUAAUAGUAUUAUGAAUAUACCAUGAGAUCAUUUUACAGCACACUACCAAUUGAAAUGUACACAUUUGUAUUUAAAGUUUUACGGAGGUGAAUUAGUUUUCUUUUUACAUUCUUCUUUAUUUUCAAUCAGCUAAUCCUGUUUUGUAUUAUUUGUAAAAGUGGAACACUGAAUCACAUUUAAGAUCUCCAGAUAUAAAGGAUUAUUACAGUAACUUAAAUUUCCCAAAAGGUCAUGUAUUAAGAAUUGUGCCUUACGGAGUUUCCGUUGUGGCGCAGUGGUUAACGAAUCCGACUGGGAACCAUGAGGUUGCGGGUUUGGUCCCUGCCCUUGCUCAGUGGGUUAACGAUCUGGCGUUGCCGUGAGCUGUGGUGUAGGUUGCAGACGCGGCUCGGAUCCUGCGUUGCUGUGGCUCUGGCAUAGGCUGGCGGCUACAGCUCUGAUUAGACCCCUAGCCUGGGAACCUCCAUAUGCUGUGGGAGCAGCCCAAAGAAAUAGC
Molecule: long non-coding RNA, 5530 nt
Filed under: Sus scrofa (pig)
Lineage: Eukaryota; Metazoa; Chordata; Mammalia; Artiodactyla; Suidae
Description: lncRNA (ENSSSCG00000055228.1)
Source: RNAcentral